Long non-coding RNA from Magallana angulata, 2181 nucleotides. RefSeq lists it as uncharacterized. NCBI's taxonomy places the organism in Eukaryota, Metazoa, Mollusca, Bivalvia, Ostreida, Ostreidae. The transcript is spliced from 3 exons. The record is from RefSeq and is a predicted model, not a curated record.
ACCUGUUUAUUGAGUCCCAGCACGUUACUUACCUGUUAAUUGAGUCCCAGCAUGUUACAUACCUGUUUAUUGAGUCCCAGCAUGUUACUUACCUGUUAAUUGAGUUCCAGCAUGUUACGUACCUGUAUAUUGAGUCACAACUCAUUACGUACCUGUUUAUUGUUUCAACAUGUUACGUACCUGUUUUGUGAGUCCAAGCACAUUACGAACCUGUUUAUUGAGUCUCAACAUGCACAGCACACGUUUGAAUGUGAGAUACACAAAUUUGUUCAAAUAUAUUUGCCUCUCAUCCAGUCGGAAGUUCCUGGAUAAAGUUGUUGCCAAGAGAAUCUUCUACAUUGCUGCCAUAACUGGAAACAAACCUAUAGCAUAGAUUAUAUUUAAUAUGAUAUUACUAUAUAAUUGGAAAAACAAACUGAAAACACCAAAUACUGCAUGGUCACCCACAGUUGAGGAACAAAGAUUGCUUUGAAUCAGAAGGUCGCCUUGGUGAUGUGGGAACAUGUUCACCAUGAUUGUCCCUGAUGCACAGUACAGCUAUUGCUGUUAUUUUCUGGACAGAAGAAGAAGUGUACUCCUUUGGAAACCAGACUAAAGGGCAUCCAGGGUGACACAAAAAAGAUCCCAUGAAGUCAGGGAAAGUCCCCGUCAUGGGGGAGGAUCCUUCUGUAGUGGUUUCCCUGUCCUGUAGUCAUGGAAACACUCCAGAUCUAUGCAACAACUAUAAAUAGAGAGGAAAUUUAACAUUGGCCAGGAUUUAAUUAUCACAAUUAAGAACCAAGUCCUCAGAGAUUUCACAAAACAUGAGUCCAGAUCCACACAUACACCCUGUUUUAUGCAACACACCAGUACAUAUACCAAGAAGAGAAAAUAAACUGUUUUUUUAGCUACGACAGUCUGGAGUCACCAGUGUGUUGGAAUUUCAGAGCUGUCCAGGGGAUGGGACUUCAUGAAGGAUAGACAAUGUGUACAUGUAAUACAUGGUACAAUGUGAUUAUUUUGAUAUACCAAGUGCUGUUUAAAAAAGUAUAAUAAUCUUAAUUCAUCCAAUUCAAAUUUUAUCAUUUUUCAGAAAUAUCUUUAUUUCACAUAUGUGUACAAGCUCGUAUAUGCCUUUGUGCUAAAUUUUCAUUUGAUAUAAGAAACUACAACAACAUUUAUAUGUACAUAUCAAUGAUAUUUAGAAAAUUUUCACACUAAUAAUAUGCAAAUGGUUUAGUGUGCAAUAAAAAUCUGUACUUUAAAAAAAGGGUUAAUUGUCUUCAUUAGUUGAUAUCAUGCUGGAUUUCUCAACUUACUUUGUCUUAGAUGUUACAAAAUUACAGACUGACUCAGAGGUGGAAAUUUGAAGUCAUGUUUUAAGGAGGUCGAUUUGGGGUUUUUUGUGUGUAAAAACUACAAUUGCAAAACUUUCUAUUUUUUAACCAUAAUUAUUAUGUAAUAUAAACCAACUCUAGUAUAUUUGAGAAGUUUCCAGAAAAUCUACCAUCUGGUUCCUUUUGGGGGCCAUCUCAAAAUACAGGUACAUUUACUAUAGGAAUCUAUAAGAAAUUCUCAAUUUCUGCACUUUGAAACAGAUUUUAAAAAACACGAUAGCUAUUUUCCUCAAAUAGUUAUUUAUCAUAGUAAUAUCAUUUUCUACUUUAUAUGUGAAAAAUACUAAAUUCUACCAACUGGUUUUUAAUAAGGGUCAACUCAAAUUAUCAAAAUACAACAAAAUUUGCUAUAUAUUUAGCGUUUCACAUUAGAUUGGUUCAAUGGAUUCCUUAAAAAAUUUAGGUACCCAGAGGAAUAGCAUGAUUUCUGGGUGUAAAAUUUUAAAAGCGUAUACUUUUUCUUUUAUGUUAUUUCUUAUAACGUACUCCUACAAAGCUAUAUUUCAUCAUAACGUCAUAAAAUCACAAUGGCAAUGCUCCCCUACUGAACGGAAAAAUUGUUUAAGAAAGUUUUCUUUUAAAAAUCUUAAUAUCUUUAUCUGUUUUUUCUAUUGUUUUCAAUUUCAUAAAUAAGAUUAAAACAAUUUCUUAAAAAGUAUAAAUACACCGUAUUUUACUAGAUUCCACAAAAACAUGUGUAAUGAAACCUAAAGUCAGCCACCUUAAAUUUUCUGUGUAAUCCUUUAAUAUACUGUAUUAUGAUAACAAAAAUUUUCUUAAUCAUUUUUUAACUUCCUGAGUAUAU